AUGUUCAGGUUACCUGGCAAAUGUAAGUUCUUUCUGGGCUUGUUUGAUCCGUCUUGCAAUUCUGAAGCACCUUCAAGGUUUCAGACAUUCGAAAGCUUGCUUGAAGGCAUGCGCUGUGGAAUUGAGAGAAUUAUGUCUCCUGCCUUCACGCGUCAGUUUGAGCGUCAUGAAGAGUCGAAGAUGCAUCCUUACGGUGCUGAAACGCCUUCUCGCUUGUAUGAGUGCACUCGGAUUGUUUUGCUCGCUGUAAGAAUACAUGCGUCCAUCAAUCUCAUCUCUGGUCUCGAAAAAUGCAAUCCUGCUGAUUCAAGAUCAGUGCUGCUCAUGUGUGAGGCAGGGAGCUGUCUAGACUCCUAG
Molecule: ribosomal RNA, 357 nt
Filed under: Triticum aestivum (bread wheat)
Lineage: Eukaryota; Viridiplantae; Streptophyta; Magnoliopsida; Poales; Poaceae
Description: partial small subunit ribosomal RNA
Source: RNAcentral